This 70-nucleotide transfer RNA is filed under the name Culex quinquefasciatus (southern house mosquito). Its description in RNAcentral is "tRNA-Thr". Lineage: Eukaryota; Metazoa; Arthropoda; Insecta; Diptera; Culicidae. The record is from RNAcentral.
GUGGCAGUGCGUGGCCGAAUGGUUACGCUUUGUAAGCGGAUGAUUCUGGGUUCGAUUCCCAUCUGCUGCA